GAUGAAGAACGUAGCGAAAUGCGAUAGGUAAUGCGAAUUGCAGAAUUCAGUGAGUCAUCGAAUCUUUGAACGCACAUUGCGCCCUGUGGUAUUCCGCAGGGCAUGCCUGUUCGAGCGUCAUUUCAACCCUCAAGCUCUGCUUGGUGUUGGGCCCUGCCCGCUGCGGCCGGCCCUAAAGACAGUGGCGGUGCCGCCUGGCCCUGAGCGUAGUACAUCUCUCGCUCCAGUGCCCGGUGGUAGCCUGCCAGAACCCCAACUCUCGUGGUUGACCUCGGAUCAGGUAGGGAUACCCGCUGAACUUAAGCAUAUCAAUAAGCGGAGGA
Molecule: unclassified non-coding RNA, 323 nt
Filed under: soil metagenome
Description: partial contains 5.8S ribosomal RNA, internal transcribed spacer 2, and large subunit ribosomal RNA
Rfam family: 5.8S ribosomal RNA (bases 1-120)
Source: RNAcentral